AAAUUGUGUCACAAAAAGAAAGAUCCUCUUAUUAUUCCCCUCAUCUCCUCUACUACACAGCUUUCCAAUUUUCUCCGAAUCCAAUUCCCCUAACCUAUACAUACAAUCUCCCUGUCUCUACACUUUCUAUUACCUUCCCUUUUAGAUCUAACCUUUUCUCUAUGCUUUCUUUUUCUUUCCCCAUCUUUUUCUAACAACUAUCAUGACCGACGUCGCCGGCGAUCACCGCCGUCCGGCACCGCCGCAGCAGCGUUCCGGCUGCUGCAAUCCGGUGAAAAAGCCAGGCCCUGUGUCGAUGGAACACGUGUUAUCUGCAUUGGGAGAGACGAAAGAGGAGAGAGAGGGGAGGAUUAGGAGCUUGUUUAAUUUCUUCGACGGUGCCAAUGGCGGUUAUUUGGAUUACGCGCAGAUCGAGGCGGGAUUAUCGGCGCUGCAAAUACCGGCGGAGUAUAAGUAUGCUAAGGAUUUACUUAGGGUUUGCGAUGCGAAUCGGGAUGGGAGAGUGGAUUAUUAUGAGUUCAGGAAGUAUAUGGAUGAUAAAGAGCUGGAGCUUUAUCGGAUUUUCCAGGCGAUUGAUGUCGAACAUAAUGGAUGUAUUUUGCCCGAGGAGCUGUGGGAUGCUCUUGUUAAGGCUGGUAUAGAAAUGGAUGAUGAAGAACUAGCUCGAUUUGUGGAGCAUGUCGACAAAGAUAAUAAUGGAAUAAUCACUUUUGAGGAGUGGAGAGAUUUUCUUCUUCUCUACCCACAUGAAGCAACUAUAGAAAACAUCUAUGAGUAUUGGGAAAGAGUUUAUCUUGUUGACAUUGGAGAACAAGCUGUCAUUCCUGAUGGCAUCAGCAAGCAUGUCCAUGCGAGCAAGUAUUUGAUUGCUGGUGGAGUUGCCGGAGCUGCUUCUCGUACUGCAACUGCUCCGCUGGAUCGUCUCAAGGUUGUACUACAAGUUCAGACUAGUCGUGCGUCUAUCCUUUCUGCUGUUAGAAAUAUAUGGAAGGAAGGUGGUCUUUUGGGAUUUUUCCGAGGAAAUGGGUUAAACGUUGUGAAGGUUGCACCUGAGAGUGCUAUCAAAUUUUACACUUAUGAACUUUUAAAAAAUUUCAUAGGUGAUAUCAAUGGGGAAGCUAAAGGUGACAUUGGGACUUCCGGGAGGCUUGUUGCUGGUGGUUUGGCUGGUGCGGUGGCACAAACUGCCAUCUAUCCUAUGGAUCUUGUAAAAACACGGUUACAGACUCAUGCUUGUGAGAGUGGAAAGGUCCCAAGCUUGGGAAAGCUAUCGAGAGACAUAUUGGUGCAUGAAGGACCUCGAGCAUUCUACAGAGGGAUAGUACCAUCUCUGCUUGGGAUCAUCCCUUAUGCUGGAAUCGACUUAGCCGCUUAUGAGACCUUGAAAGAUAUGUCUAAAACAUAUCUCGCAAAUGAUGACCCUGGCCCUCUUGUGCAACUGGGUUGUGGGACAAUUUCGGGAGCACUGGGAGCAACAUGUGUUUACCCCUUGCAAGUUGUCAGGACAAGAAUGCAGGCUCAGCAUUCUAGUUCAACUACAGCGUACUCUGGAAUGUCGGAUGUAUUUAGGAGAACUUUCCAGCAUGAGGGUUUAAGAGGUUUCUACAAAGGACUUUUCCCGAAUCUUCUCAAAGUUGUACCAGCAGCUAGUAUUACAUAUCUGGUUUACGAAACUAUGAAAAAAAGCCUUGAUCUUGAUUGAUUUUAGGUGCUCUCAUUUAUGAGUGCUGCCACACAUUCAAAGGUAUAAACUGGUAAUGGUGGUGAUUGAUGAUCAUGACGAAGAAUAUGAAUAAAGAAACAGCUAAUCAAUAGGUGAUGCCAUUGUUUGAUUAUACGAUGAUAGAUGUAACUUUCUUUAGGAUCCUGUGGUUCAGCAGGAGAUUUUUUCUGGUAUUUGCCUGACGAUACUAAGGAUAGAACAUGUUUCAAGGUCUAUCUGUUGAGAAAUGUAAGAUGUACUUAUAAAUCUGCGACUAAAUUGCUUCUAAAUCGAGAAUAGAGAGGUGCAGAAAUUGCCGAUGUUUUAUGAUGAAAGACGCUCUUUUGACGACUGACAACACAUUUUUCUUGUAAUGAGAUGUAUGCGUUUCGUGAGACU
RNA transcript from Daucus carota subsp. sativus, 2101 nucleotides. It is a transcript of the gene named calcium-dependent mitochondrial ATP-magnesium/phosphate carrier protein 2, with no coding region annotated. The transcript is spliced from 5 exons. NCBI's taxonomy places the organism in Eukaryota, Viridiplantae, Streptophyta, Magnoliopsida, Apiales, Apiaceae. The record is from RefSeq and is a predicted model, not a curated record.